GCGGCCUAUCAGCUUGUUGGUGAGGUAAUGGCUCACCAAGGCGACGACGGGUAGCCGGCCUGAGAGGGCGACCGGCCACACUGGGACUGAGACACGGCCCAGACUCCUACGGGAGGCAGCAGUGGGGAAUAUUGGGCAAUGGAGGGAACUCUGACCCAGCGACGCCGCGUGCGGGAUGAAGGCCUUCGGGUUGUAAACCGCUUUCAGCAGGGAAGAAGCGAAAGUGACGGUACCUGCAGAAGAAGCACCGGCUAACUAUGUGCCAGCAGCCGCGGUAAUACAUAGGGUGCAAGCGUUGUCCGGAAUUAUUGGGCGUACAGAGCUCGUAGGUGGUUCGUUACGUCGGAUGUGAAACUCUGGGGCUCAACCCCAGACCUGCAUUCGAUACGGGCGAACUAGAGUGUGGUAGGGGAGACUGGAAUUCCU
RNAcentral lists this ribosomal RNA (426 nucleotides) under uncultured Actinomycetes bacterium. RNAcentral's name for it is "bacterial SSU rRNA". It matches the Rfam family "Bacterial small subunit ribosomal RNA", at positions 233 to 671 of the family's 1533-position model. Lineage: Bacteria; Bacillati; Actinomycetota; Actinomycetes. The record is from RNAcentral.